RNAcentral lists this long non-coding RNA (485 nucleotides) under Ananas comosus (pineapple). RNAcentral's name for it is "long non-coding RNA (ACOM_LNC026313)". The record is from RNAcentral. Lineage: Eukaryota; Viridiplantae; Streptophyta; Magnoliopsida; Poales; Bromeliaceae.
CACAAAUACAAAUUCUCCUAUCUACACGGAAAGAGUCUCCUUUAUAUUUGCACGGUGUAUCGAUCAAUAACAUCAACAGGAUUACAACACACAACAUAUAUUCACCAAAUCCACAGGCAAUUUAUGCGAUGCAUUCACAUACAACUAACCAUCCUUAAAAAUGAUGCAUGCCUCUAAGCACUUUUCAGGCGCUGGAUAAUGCGAUGCACAAUACAACAAUCAUACUAUUUAAAAGUAAUGAAGAGAUAUCAGAAGGUUAGUAGCAAUGAGAUAAUAAUAAACAAUAAAUGCGAAAAUACCGCUACUGAGCAUAAAACAACAUCUAGGCAUAAUCAACAGGUAUACUAAAAUAGUAACAAUAAUGGCUAGGAAAGAACUAUAACUUCCAAUCAGUAUAUAACUAACUGCUACUAUAACUAACCAUAGAACGUACCAAUACAUCAACUGAGUGAACAAAACCAACAACCAAAACCACUACUGUAUUG